Molecule: ribosomal RNA, 542 nt
Filed under: Pelobates cultripes (western spadefoot toad)
Lineage: Eukaryota; Metazoa; Chordata; Amphibia; Anura; Pelobatidae
Description: SSU_rRNA_eukarya
Rfam family: Eukaryotic small subunit ribosomal RNA
Source: RNAcentral
UUGAGGAGGCGGUGACCAUGGCGGUGUAGGUGGAAGCUAACACUGUUAAUAUAUAUAUAUAUAUAUAUAUAUAUUUUUAUUUUUUUUUUAUUUUUUUUUUUAAUUGGGGUAGCCCCCAAAAUAUUGGGACACAUAAAAAAAGACAACUCUGUUCCGCAGAGUAGCUGUUGACAUUAUAGUUGUGCAGGCACUUUGUUCACUCUAGAGAACCUCGGGCCAAUCGCACAUCCCAGUGAUGACGACUUUGCAUUCGGAUGUCAUCCAUAUCAACUUUCGAUGCCAGUUUCUGCGCCUACCAUGGUGACCAUGGGUAACAGUGAAUCAGGGUUCCAUUCCGUACAGGGACCCUGAGAAACGGCUACCACAUGCAAGGAAGGCAGCAGGCACGCAAAUGACCUACUCCCGACGCGGGAAGGUAGUGACGACAAAUAACAAUACAGGACUCUUUAAAGGCCCUGUAAUUGUAAUGAGUCCACUUGCAAUCCUUUAACUCUGAUCAAUUGGAGGGAAGUCUGGUGCAGAGCCUCUAUCGCCUGCUGCUG